RNAcentral lists this ribosomal RNA (1418 nucleotides) under metagenome. RNAcentral's name for it is "bacterial SSU rRNA". It matches the Rfam family "Bacterial small subunit ribosomal RNA". The record is from RNAcentral.
GCAGCUUGCUGCUUCGCUGACGAGUGGCGGACGGGUGAGUAAUGUCUGGGAAGCUGCCUGAUGGAGGGGGAUAACUACUGGAAACGGUAGCUAAUACCGCAUAAUGUCGCAAGACCAAAGAGGGGGACCUUCGGGCCUCUUGCCAUCGGAUGUGCCCAGAUGGGAUUAGCUUGUUGGUGGGGUAACGGCUCACCAAGGCGACGAUCCCUAGCUGGUCUGAGAGGAUGACCAGCCACACUGGAACUGAGACACGGUCCAGACUCCUACGGGAGGCAGCAGUGGGGAAUAUUGCACAAUGGGCGCAAGCCUGAUGCAGCCAUGCCGCGUGUAUGAAGAAGGCCUUCGGGUUGUAAAGUACUUUCAGCGGGGAGGAAGGGAGUAAAGUUAAUACCUUUGCUCAUUGACGUUACCCGCAGAAGAAGCACCGGCUAACUCCGUGCCAGCAGCCGCGGUAAUACGGAGGGUGCAAGCGUUAAUCGGAAUUACUGGGCGUAAAGCGCACGCAGGCGGUUUGUUAAGUCAGAUGUGAAAUCCCCGGGCUCAACCUGGGAACUGCAUCUGAUACUGGCAAGCUUGAGUCUCGUAGAGGGGGGUAGAAUUCCAGGUGUAGCGGUGAAAUGCGUAGAGAUCUGGAGGAAUACCGGUGGCGAAGGCGGCCCCCUGGACGAAGACUGACGCUCAGGUGCGAAAGCGUGGGGAGCAAACAGGAUUAGAUACCCUGGUAGUCCACGCCGUAAACGAUGUCGACUUGGAGGUUGUGCCCUUGAGGCGUGGCUUCCGGAGCUAACGCGUUAAGUCGACCGCCUGGGGAGUACGGCCGCAAGGUUAAAACUCAAAUGAAUUGACGGGGGCCCGCACAAGCGGUGGAGCAUGUGGUUUAAUUCGAUGCAACGCGAAGAACCUUACCUGGUCUUGACAUCCACGGAAGUUUUCAGAGAUGAGAAUGUGCCUUCGGGAACCGUGAGACAGGUGCUGCAUGGCUGUCGUCAGCUCGUGUUGUGAAAUGUUGGGUUAAGUCCCGCAACGAGCGCAACCCUUAUCCUUUGUUGCCAGCGGUCCGGCCGGGAACUCAAAGGAGACUGCCAGUGAUAAACUGGAGGAAGGUGGGGAUGACGUCAAGUCAUCAUGGCCCUUACGACCAGGGCUACACACGUGCUACAAUGGCGCAUACAAAGAGAAGCGACCUCGCGAGAGCAAGCGGACCUCAUAAAGUGCGUCGUAGUCCGGAUUGGAGUCUGCAACUCGACUCCAUGAAGUCGGAAUCGCUAGUAAUCGUGGAUCAGAAUGCCACGGUGAAUACGUUCCCGGGCCUUGUACACACCGCCCGUCACACCAUGGGAGUGGGUUGCAAAAGAAGUAGGUAGCUUAACCUUCGGGAGGGCGCUUACCACUUUGUGAUUCAUGACUGGGGUGAAGAC